GCCGAAAUAGUUUAGGAGGUUAAAACAUGUCACUCAUAACGACAUAAGAAAGGUUCGAUCCCUUUUUUCGGCU
RNAcentral lists this transfer RNA (73 nucleotides) under Filobasidium floriforme. It matches the Rfam family "tRNA". From Rfam's summary of the family: Transfer RNA (tRNA) molecules are approximately 80 nucleotides in length. Their secondary structure includes four short double-helical elements and three loops (D, anti-codon, and T loops). Lineage: Eukaryota; Fungi; Basidiomycota; Tremellomycetes; Filobasidiales; Filobasidiaceae. The record is from Rfam by way of RNAcentral. RNAcentral also lists the same sequence under 1 other name.